GGGGAAUAUUGCACAAUGGGGGGAACCCUGAUGCAGCGACGCCGCGUGGAGGAAGAAGGUCUUCGGAUUGUAAACUCCUGUCAUUCGGGACGAUAAUAACGGUACCGAAUGAGGAAGCCACGGCUAACUACGUGCCAGCAGCCGCGGUAAUACGUAGGUGGCGAGCGUUGUCCGGAAUUACUGGGCGUAAAGGGCGCGUAGGCGGUCUACUAAGUCAGAUGUGAAACCCCUAGGCUCAACCUGGGGCUUGCAUAUGAAACUGGUAGGCUAGAGUGUCGGAGAGGGAAGCGGAAUUCCUAGUGUAGCGGUGAAAUGCGUAGAUAUUAGGAGGAACACCAGUGGCGAAGGCGGCUUUCUGGACGAUAACUGACGCUGAGGCGCGAAAGCGUGGGGAGCAAAC
This 400-nucleotide ribosomal RNA is filed under the name uncultured bacterium. Its description in RNAcentral is "bacterial SSU rRNA". It matches the Rfam family "Bacterial small subunit ribosomal RNA", at positions 356 to 773 of the family's 1533-position model. The record is from RNAcentral.